UGCUUUCCUCGCAUAGACUCUGUGUGGCUCUGACCUGAUGCUGCUCCAGCUGGAUGGGGGCGUCGUCCCUCUCUGUAACGCAGGAUAGGUGUUGGUGUCACUGUUUUGUUGGUCAAAGCGGGCGAAGAACUGCUUCAUGGUGUCAGGGACAGAGUUCAUGUUCAUGGACAUCAGGAUAAAAACAGAAGAUGGAAACCUGCCAGAUUUGAGCUGCUCAUGUGUCGUCCCUGGGCAGGUCACAUGACUCUAUCCAACACACAAAGACACACAGACACACAAGAAAAGCCAGAGAAACAAAGACAAAUCCAAACAAUCCAUCAUACUGAGUUAAAGUGAUCACA
Molecule: long non-coding RNA, 341 nt
Organism: Oreochromis niloticus (Nile tilapia)
Lineage: Eukaryota; Metazoa; Chordata; Actinopteri; Cichliformes; Cichlidae
Exons: 2
Source: RefSeq, a predicted model, not a curated record